This 221-nucleotide ribosomal RNA is filed under the name uncultured bacterium. Its description in RNAcentral is "partial 16S ribosomal RNA". It matches the Rfam family "Bacterial small subunit ribosomal RNA", at positions 524 to 744 of the family's 1533-position model. The record is from RNAcentral.
UACGAAGGGGGCUAGCGUUGCUCGGAAUCACUGGGCGUAAAGGGUGCGUAGGCGGGUCUUUAAGUCAGGGGUGAAAUCCUGGAGCUCAACUCCAGAACUGCCUUUGAUACUGAGGAUCUUGAGUUCGGGAGAGGUGAGUGGAACUGCGAGUGUAGAGGUGAAAUUCGUAGAUAUCGCAAGAACACCAGUGGCGAAGGCGGCUCACUGGCCCCGGUACUAGA